AUAGAACGUUGGCGGCAUGCCUUACACAUGCAAGUCGAACGGCAGCACGGGAGCAAUCCUGGUGGCGAGUGGCGAACGGGUGAGUAAAGUAUCGGAACGUGCCCAGUCGUGGGGGAUAACGUAGCGAAAGUUACGCUAAUACCGCAUACGAUCUAUGGAUGAAAGCGGGGGAUCGCAAGACCUCGCGCGAUUGGAGCGGCCGAUAUCAGAUUAGGUAGUUGGUGGGGUAAAGGCUCACCAAGCCGACGAUCUGUAGCUGGUCUGAGAGGACGACCAGCCACACUGGGACUGAGACACGGCCCAGACUCCUACGGGAGGCAGCAGUGGGGAAUUUUGGACAAUGGGCGAAAGCCUGAUCCAGCCAUGCCGCGUGCAGGAUGAAGGCCUUCGGGCUGUAAACUGCUUCUGUACGGAACGAAAAGGUUUGGCCUAAUAAGCUGAGCUCAUGACGGUACCGUAAGAAUAAGCACCGGCUAACUACGUGCCAGCCGCCGCCGUAA
This 500-nucleotide ribosomal RNA is filed under the name uncultured bacterium. Its description in RNAcentral is "partial 16S ribosomal RNA". It matches the Rfam family "Bacterial small subunit ribosomal RNA", at positions 31 to 523 of the family's 1533-position model. The record is from RNAcentral.